Carassius auratus (goldfish) is the source of this 154-nucleotide long non-coding RNA. RefSeq lists it as uncharacterized. Lineage: Eukaryota; Metazoa; Chordata; Actinopteri; Cypriniformes; Cyprinidae. The transcript is spliced from 4 exons. The record is from RefSeq and is a predicted model, not a curated record.
UCCCCAACUCAGAUACCUGUCCUGUGAAGCCGCACCUUGAAUAGCUGCUGAUUUGAGCUUUUAGAGCGUCGUCCUCUUUAUGGGCGGAGACUUCCUGAGUUUCGUCUUCAGUUCACUCCGGUGUGUUGUUGUGAGCAUAGACAGUAAAAGAAAA